UUCCUUCGGGGUUAGGUGAAAUUCCUUACCGACGGUGAUGAACAAACCAAUUGUUCUAAGCCCGUGACCCAUUUUAAUUUAGGCUUUUUGCUAUGAAAUCUUUUCAUUUAAAAUGGUGGACUUGGUGAGAAUCCAAGGCCGACAGUUAUAGUCUGGAUGGGAGAAGGA
RNAcentral lists this non-coding RNA (168 nucleotides) under uncultured Ferdinandcohnia sp. RNAcentral's name for it is "FMN riboswitch (RFN element)". It matches the Rfam family "FMN riboswitch aptamer (RFN element)". From Rfam's summary of the family: The RFN element is a highly conserved domain that is found frequently in the 5'-untranslated regions of prokaryotic mRNAs that encode for flavin mononucleotide (FMN) biosynthesis and transport proteins. This element is a metabolite-dependent riboswitch that directly binds FMN in the absence of proteins. The record is from RNAcentral. Lineage: Bacteria; Bacillati; Bacillota; Bacilli; Caryophanales; Bacillaceae.